GGGGUUGUGGCUCAGAGGUAGAGCGCUUGCCUAGCAUGCACGAGGUACUGGGUUCAAUCCUCAGCACCACA
This 71-nucleotide transfer RNA is filed under the name Marmota monax (woodchuck). Its description in RNAcentral is "tRNA.Ala". It matches the Rfam family "tRNA". Rfam says of the family: Transfer RNA (tRNA) molecules are approximately 80 nucleotides in length. Their secondary structure includes four short double-helical elements and three loops (D, anti-codon, and T loops). Further hydrogen bonds mediate the characteristic L-shaped molecular structure. tRNAs have two regions of fundamental functional importance: the anti-codon, which is responsible for specific mRNA codon recognition, and the 3' end, to which the tRNAs corresponding amino acid is attached (by aminoacyl-tRNA synthetases). tRNAs cope with the degeneracy of the genetic code in two manners: having more than one tRNA (with a specific anti-codon) for a particular amino acid; and 'wobble' base-pairing, i.e. permitting non-standard base-pairing at the 3rd anti-codon position. Lineage: Eukaryota; Metazoa; Chordata; Mammalia; Rodentia; Sciuridae. The record is from RNAcentral.